Molecule: long non-coding RNA, 1414 nt
Filed under: Heterocephalus glaber (naked mole-rat)
Lineage: Eukaryota; Metazoa; Chordata; Mammalia; Rodentia; Bathyergidae
Description: lncRNA (ENSHGLG00100049317.1)
Source: RNAcentral
CAAGAAAACAAAUAUGCUGACGGACACAGCCCUACGAAAGUGGAAAACGUCGCAAGGGGCGUUCACCCUUACGUAGAACAAACGUAGAAUCCCAGCGCCUCUUCAGCUCAAGCACGGUGCAGAAACCGAGCGGGAGGACUCAAGAGGAGGAGGUGCCUGGCAGGAUUGAUCUAGUCUGGCAGCAGUGAUCCUCCGAACGGAAGCCACGCCUGAGUCCCAACACGCUGUCCGGAAGCGGCCAGGACCUAGCAGGCUUGAUGGCACGCAGAAAGAAGGGAAUAGUUAAGUGCGCAGCACCCAGAAGCUGCACCAACCUCCACCCCAGCACUACCCAGCCGCCCUUCGCACCCCCUGCACUUCGCCGAGCCAUCGCAAGGGGGGUGGCAGUGACUCGAGGUCUGGGCAGGACUUCUCUGGAGGCAGCCGGUGAAAUGCUGAUGUAAGGGUUUUGUUCCCUGUGUGUAUUUGUUGUAAUUCCAUCGCACAAUGAGAAGACAUCUACAUCCACACGAAGCUAUUGUGAGAAGAAAAGGGAAAGCGAGCAUAAAACCUUUCUGCUGAUGAAUUUCCCAGAAAAUUACCUAUGAGCAGAAUAAAUCUGUAAAACCUGUAUUAACCUUCGUAAAGUGUUGAAAAUAUGCCUUGCAUGGGACAUUCAAAACCUCAGUUACAUUCCCCAGUUGUUAGUGCACAUAUGCUACAUGUUUAUGAGGAAUGUUUAACAUUACCCCCCAAGUCAGUUCUAUGUAUAACCAUUUACCAAAUACUGCUGAUGUGGUUUCUUCAAGGAAGCAUGCUGUGCUGCGCUGUGAUGCAUUGUCAUCUUGCUGCUUGACAAAUAGGUCUGUAAGGAAUUAGAACUGUGUGUGUAGUACCUUUGUGUAACAAGAUGUAAAUUUAAAGAUGAGGAAUGUGUGCAAAUGAUCAUUCGGUGUUUUAAAAAUUAGUACUAUAUCUAAAGCUGUGACUGGUAUGUUUUAACUUUCAUGGCACUGAAUAAAUUAAAAUGAAAAAAAAAAUUCAAAACCUCAGACCAAAAAUAGACAAUGAAAAGGAAGCUAAGAGGUGAGAAUUGCGCAAAUUCAGGAAAGAAUGGAAGAAAAACAUAAAAAAUAAUUAAAAGCCAAGAUUAAAUUACAGAUUCAAGGGAAAGUUUCUCUGAAAUUAUAAUUUUGGAACUGAAAUACGAAGUGUGGAAUUAGGGAAGGAAGACCCAAAAUAAUGAAUGCGAUAUAAUCACAUAUUAAAAGACAGCACUUUGGGGGUGAGAGAGUGCUUGCUUACUCUGCGUGAGAUCCUAGCUCUGAUCCCUGGCCUCAUACAAGAGACUCACUUAAGGACACACAUACAUAUACCCAGAGUGGAGGGAUGAAAAAGAUCUUCUGUGCAAAUGGAGAAACCAGAAGUGACCAGG